GCUUCUCCUUAUUCCCCGCUCACCAUAUUUCUCUCUCCCCCAAUUCCAUCUCUCAAAUGCUUCGUCGAUCGCUCGGGUGACGCUCCAAUGGGAUCAAUCUGGGGCGGCGGCGGCGGCAAGCCUGAGGUGGCGGACAUCUUGAUCGCCAUGUACUUCGCCGGUGGAUUUGUCGUUGUUAGGUUCUUGCUCGACUUCUUCAUCUUCAAGCCAUU
This 212-nucleotide unclassified non-coding RNA is filed under the name Hevea brasiliensis (rubber tree). The record is from RNAcentral. Lineage: Eukaryota; Viridiplantae; Streptophyta; Magnoliopsida; Malpighiales; Euphorbiaceae.